GACGAACGCUGGCGGCGUGCUUAACACAUGCAAGUCGAACGCUGAAACCCGGAGCUUGCUCUGGGUGGAUGAGUGGCGAACGGGUGAGUAACACGUGAGCAACCUGCCCCUGACUCUGGGAUAAGCGCUGGAAACGGCGUCUAAUACUGGAUACGAGACGUGGCCGCAUGGUCAACGUUUGGAAAGAUUUAUCGGUUGGGGAUGGGCUCGCGGCCUAUCAGCUGGAUGGUGGGGUAAUGGCCUACCAUGGCGACGACGGGUAGCCGGCCUGAGAGGGUGACCGGCCACACUGGGACUGAGACACGGCCCAGACUCCUACGGGAGGCAGCAGUGGGGAAUAUUGCACAAUGGGCGCAAGCCUGAUGCAGCAACGCCGCGUGAGGGAUGACGGCCU
RNAcentral lists this ribosomal RNA (394 nucleotides) under uncultured bacterium. Its description in RNAcentral is "bacterial SSU rRNA". It matches the Rfam family "Bacterial small subunit ribosomal RNA", at positions 28 to 417 of the family's 1533-position model. The record is from RNAcentral.